This 883-nucleotide ribosomal RNA is filed under the name uncultured bacterium. RNAcentral describes it as "bacterial SSU rRNA". It matches the Rfam family "Bacterial small subunit ribosomal RNA", at positions 26 to 896 of the family's 1533-position model. The record is from RNAcentral.
AGAACGAACGCUGGCGGCAUGCCUAACACAUGCAAGUCGAACGUGAAGCUUGGAGCUUGCUCCAAGUGGAAAGUGGCGCACGGGUGAGUAUCGCGUGGGUAACGUACCCUUUGGCGGGGGAUAACCCGAGGAAACUUGGGCUAAUACCGCAUAAGCUCCUUAGAGGUUCGCCGAAAAGGAGGAAAGCAGGGCAACUUGCACCGGAGGAUCGACCAGCGACCCAUCAGCUUGAUGGUAGGGUAACGGCCUACCAUGGCUACGACGGGUAGCUGGUCUGAGAGGAUGAUCAGCCACACUGGGACUGAGACACGGCCCAGACUCCUACGGGAGGCAGCAGCGGGGAAUAUUGGGCAAUGGGCGAAAGCCUGACCCAGCAAUGCCGUGUGUGUGAUGAAGGCCCUUGGGUUGUAAAGCACUGUCGGGAGGGAAGAAAAAGACGGGGUAACGCCCGGACUUGACGGUACCUCCAAAGGAAGCACCGGCUAACUCCGUGCCAGCAGCCGCGGUAAUACGGAGGGUGCAAGCGUUGUUCGGAAUUACUGGGCGUAAAGCGCGUGUAGGCGGCGCUGUAAGUCGGAUGUGAAAGCCCUCGGCUCAACCGAGGAAGUGCAUUCGAUACUGCAGUGCUUGAGUUUCGGAGGGGGUGGCGGAAUUCCCGGUGUAGAGGUGAAAUUCGUAGAUAUCGGGAGGAACACCUGUGGCGAAGGCGGCCACCUGGACGAACACUGACGCUGAGACGCGAAAGCGUGGGUAGCAAACAGGAUUAGAUACCCUGGUAGUCCACGCCGUAAACGAUGAGUGCUAGACGUUGCGGGUAUUGACCCCUGCGGUGUCGAAGCUAACGCGUUAAGCACUCCGCCUGGGGAGUACGGUCGCAAGAUUA